RNAcentral lists this ribosomal RNA (253 nucleotides) under uncultured bacterium. RNAcentral's name for it is "partial 16S ribosomal RNA". It matches the Rfam family "Bacterial small subunit ribosomal RNA", at positions 524 to 776 of the family's 1533-position model. The record is from RNAcentral.
UACGGAGGGUGCAAGCGUUAUCCGGAUUUACUGGGUUUAAAGGGUGCUUAGGCGGGCAUGUAAGUCAGUGGUGAAAUACCGGAGCUUAACUUCGGAACUGCCAUUGAUACUAUAUGUCUUGAAUAUUGUGGAGGUAAGCGGAAUAUGUCAUGUAGCGGUGAAAUGCAUAGAUAUGACAUAGAACACCGAUUGCGGAGGCAGCUUGCGACACAAAUAUUGACUAUGAGGCACGAAAGCGUGGGGAUCAAACAGG